Molecule: ribosomal RNA, 253 nt
Filed under: uncultured bacterium
Lineage: Bacteria
Description: partial 16S ribosomal RNA
Rfam family: Bacterial small subunit ribosomal RNA
Source: RNAcentral
UACGUAGGGGGCAAGCGUUGUCCGGAUUUAUUGGGCGUAAAGAGCGUGUAGGCGGCCAGGUAGGUCAGCUGUGAAAACUCGAGGCUCAACCUCGAGAUGUCGGCUGAAACCAUCUGGCUAGAGUCCGGAAGAGGAGAAUGGAAUUCCCGGUGUAGCGGUGAAAUUCGUAGAUAUCGAGAGGAACACCGGUGGCGAAGGCGGCUACCUGGACGGUGACUGACGCUGAGACGCGAAAGCGUGGGGAGCAAACAGG